CCAUAUUAAAAGAUGUAAGAGGUUCGAAUUAACCCAUAUAAGAGAGAACUAUGUUACUCAUUAUAAUUCUAUGACGUGAAUGGUUAUCAUUCCAAUAUUACACGUAAAUGAUACCUAAUUUUUGUUUUAAAACAUACUAUAACCUAUUUAUUGUUUUUCGUCGACCCUUGUAAUUGGUAUAAUUUGUUAAUGUUUUUCUUAUUAAACAUGAUUGCCUCAUUUCAUUUUGAUUAACAAACCAAUUUUAUUAAUUAUGCAAUCUUUUGUCUGACUAGUAUAUGUCUCAAUCAUUGGUCCUACCCUCGUCCUUGUGCUUUUUGACUCUUUCCNNNNNNNNNNNNNNNUGUUUCUCAAUAGAUAUUUUUGCUCUCAAAGGAUCCCAAAGCCUGCAACACCACUUGUUCCCACUAUCAAAUCCUGCACACAAUGUCGAUUGCCAAAGGCUAAGAAAUCAAAUGUAAUUUUAUUUUAUAUAAUUUAUGUUUUCAACUACUAGAAAGUUGAAAAAACUAUCUUUUUAUAUCAUUAAUAUGUAUUUUAAGAAUACAUGUUAGCAUGAUAUAAAGAUUUGAUUAUCUAAUUAAAUAUGAAUCAAAUGAUAAAAUUCAAUUCAAUACCAUUAUUAUAGUAAUUUCAAAAGUAAUAAAAACAAUUCUCAAUAAUUUUUUUAAAAAAAAUAGAUAAUUUAUUCUUUCUUUAUAUAUAUCAAAUUAAAUAAUAAUUUAUUAUUUUAUUAAAUUUUACACUUUUUUUUUUAUCAAAAAACAAUUUGGGUGGCAAGUCGAAUCCGACCCAACCAAAAAAUGGUUAGGUCGCAUAGACUCAUAGUAUUAUAUUGCAUAAUCAAUAGCUAUAAUUGCGAACAUAAACUUCACUCUACUAUUCUUUAAAAAAAAAAUUAGGACACACAAAUAUAUAUAUAAUAAAAAAAUUAAAUGAUAUGCAUUUUAAAAUAAUCAAAUAAUGUUUUUAUUUUUAUUUUUAUUUUUAUUUAAGUUGUGACCCUAUUUAUCCUACUUACUAGUUCAAACAGUGAAAGUUACAUACCUUUUUCUUCCCAUACUCAAAGACACAAAAGUCCAUACAUGUGAUGCUCAUUUAGUUUAGGGGUCCCCAAUUUUUCAGGCCUUAAAGGGCUCCACCAUAGAGUAUCUUAAUCACUGAUAUUUGAUUUUGUGCUAGUAACCUUAUAAAUGUCGAUAAAAAAAGCUCAUCAUGUGAUGGGGGAUCAAGUAGGAUAAGAGCAACUUUGUAUAAGUGAGUAGGAACCAAG
RNAcentral lists this long non-coding RNA (1273 nucleotides) under Cicer arietinum (chickpea). RNAcentral's name for it is "long non-coding RNA (CARI_LNC002615)". The record is from RNAcentral. Lineage: Eukaryota; Viridiplantae; Streptophyta; Magnoliopsida; Fabales; Fabaceae.